CAGCACUGGGGUUACCACAUUGAGCAAGGCAAGGAAGCUCCUCCUUUCCAGGAAGUUCCAUUCCAGUGGUGCAGACCAACAAUGAAAAAAAGUCAUAAUGUAACAUCAGCAUUUACUGUCAGAGCUGGAUGAUGCUGGCCUCCAAGUGGAGAAGGUCCACAGCAAAGCCCUCAUUUUGAUGAACACUGGAGGGGUCUCCAGCAGGCAAUUGGUCAAACCCAAGCUACCUGAACCUAACAGAAACUUUGAGAAGGUGUCUCAGCAUAUCGGAAUUGCCAAACUCGCUACGGUGGUGCUGGAGGGAAGCCGCCGUGGAGGAAGGAAGAACCCUGAGCAAGCAUGACCGGACAAAGCGUAGUUGAGGAGAGCCACAGAGGAGGACAGAUGUGGGAAGUGUCAUGGCAUUGUCAGGUUGCAGGAGGUUGAGAUGCGGGGCAUGAAGGGAAGCAUGGCUGGAGGAUGACUUCUGGAGUUGUGACAUAGUCAGUUGGGCCACUGGUCCUUGUUUUUAUGGUGAUGAGUUGAAUGGUGGAGGAACAGUGCCAAGGGAAAGUAAAAGUGCUUUUGGGGGCUCAUGGUACUUUUUGGAUGAGCUAGCACACAAUGAAAAGAUGUAGUGCCUGAAAGCAAAAUGUAAGUUCUCGGGAUUGAUGAUAUAAUGUGAUCCUCUCUUGCAAAAUUAUUUAUGGAUAUAACAUUCAUUCACUCAUUAUUUCACGUAAUGCUUUCCAAAUGUUUAUCAUACUGGAUAUAGAAUGGGGAGUGAAAGAUACACAGGCCCCACCCUCAGGGAGUACACAUAAUUCAUGUAUGUGAACAUCUUAUGUAAGCAUGCUGAGUUGUGCA
Choloepus didactylus (southern two-toed sloth) is the source of this 846-nucleotide RNA transcript. It is a transcript of the gene named utrophin-like, with no coding region annotated. The record is from RefSeq and is a predicted model, not a curated record. Lineage: Eukaryota; Metazoa; Chordata; Mammalia; Pilosa; Megalonychidae. The transcript is spliced from 3 exons.